RNAcentral lists this long non-coding RNA (1322 nucleotides) under Ailuropoda melanoleuca (giant panda). RNAcentral's name for it is "lncRNA (ENSAMEG00000029688.1)". The record is from RNAcentral. Lineage: Eukaryota; Metazoa; Chordata; Mammalia; Carnivora; Ursidae.
CUGGCAUGAAAUAUUUACAGCUGUGAGACCCAAAAAAAAAAAAAAAAUCAGAAGAAAGAAGCAAGCCUUACUUGACCUGGUAGGCAGGGGAAUGAUGCAGUUGCACAAACAACAGAGAAGCACUUCGCCCUAAAACCCGUCGCUCUCCUGGGAUCCCUGCAUGUACCCGUCACUCAAGCGGAAGACCCAGGAGUUGUCUUCAGCGGCUUCCUCCCCUCACCCCUGCACCCAGGCACUGACAUAGUUCCAUCUAUUCCGUGGCUAGCAUAUCUCCGUGCCUGGGAUACCCCUCGGCAGCUCAGGUCCUCCGAGCUCUCCCUGACCAACACAGUCACACUUCUCACUGAGUUUUCUCUAUCCUGGGUUUUCCUCAUUCCAACUGCUUCUCAUAGCCAACAGCAUGGCUUGGAAGGUCCUUCAAGCUCCAGCCCACACGUGCAUUCCAGCUUAUCCUUUGCCCAGCGCCCGAGGCCCUGUCCAAGCCCGCCAUUCGCGACACAUGCUGAAAACCCGUCAUCGCCGUGUGCACUGUCGUGCUGUGGUGCAGGCUUUUCCCUCCGCAUGGGGCUAUCUCAGCCCCGCACAUUCUUGUGUGCAUCCUUCAGCACUUACUUCAGAUGUUCUCUCUCCUUUCCUAAUCCCUCCUGGAUCCCUCCUGAGCUAGACUCGGGAGCUGUCUACACUGCGCUCUCCAUCCUGGUAUGGAGUCUCAUCAGAGCAUGUUUCAUACAAUAUGGCAACCAUCACCCUGUCUCCCUGUCCACUCCUGUGCGCUGUGCUCUAUGUGAUGGAAGCGUGGCCAUAAGAGACAUGGGAGAGGCUCAGGAAAACAAGGUCUUACACUCACAGAUCCUAGAAACAGGAGGCACUCCACGCAACACAGGGUCACGGGGGGACAUGCCAGGUUUUAGUCAGGAGGCACAAGACAGGGGCAGAGGAAUGUCUAGGACAGAGCCUUUAUUGGGGUCUCCUAAGAUCUAAGAUAAGGCAAGGCAGGGCAGGGUAAACAUUUCAGGAUUGGCUAGUUUGAAUAUUUCCUCCGGCUUUAGGCUAUUAAGGUGGUGCCUCGCCACCUGGUACCAGGCUCUGAGAUGGUUAGGGAAGAGGGCUAUUGCCUCCUGGAGUGUAAAGGAUAAAGGAGGUUUGGCUCUGGAUUGGUUGGUUUGCUGCUCAGAGGCAUGCUCCCAGAGGCUGAACACUUUCCCAUCUCUAAGAGUUGGCCAGUCCCUGAAGGGCAGUCAAUAAAAAAGCCAGAAAGGUUUUAAGAUGUCACAACAUCAUAAUAUACAGAAAAUAAAAAAUGUAAACAAUACAACUCCCAA